Molecule: ribosomal RNA, 233 nt
Filed under: uncultured bacterium
Lineage: Bacteria
Description: partial 16S ribosomal RNA
Rfam family: Bacterial small subunit ribosomal RNA
Source: RNAcentral
CGUACGGGUGAGUAACACGUGGAUCAUCUACCUCUUAGUGGGGAAUAACUCUGGGAAACCGGAGCUAAUACCGCAUAAGCCUGGAAAGGGAAAGCGUUGUCGUAAAAAACGACGCGCUGAGAGAGGAGUCCGCGGCCGAUUAGCUAGUUGGCAGGGUAAAAGCCUACCAAGGCAUUGAUCGGUAGCCGGCCUGAGAGGGCACACGGCCACACUGGCACUGAAACACGGGCCAG